Molecule: ribosomal RNA, 607 nt
Filed under: uncultured bacterium
Lineage: Bacteria
Description: bacterial SSU rRNA
Rfam family: Bacterial small subunit ribosomal RNA
Source: RNAcentral
UGUCCCAGCCGCCGCGGUAAUACGUAGGGUGCGAGCGUUAAUCGGAAUUACUGGGCGUAAAGCGUGCGCAGGCGGUUUCGUAAGACAGAGGUGAAAUCCCCGGGCUCAACCUGGGAACUGCCUUUGUGACUGCGAGGCUAGAGUAUGGCAGAGGGGGGUGGAAUUCCACGUGUAGCAGUGAAAUGCGUAGAGAUGUGGAGGAACACCGAUGGCGAAGGCAGCCCCCUGGGCCAAUACUGACGCUCAUGCACGAAAGCGUGGGGAGCAAACAGGAUUAGAUACCCUGGUAGUCCACGCCCUAAACGAUGUCAACUAGGUGUUGGGAGGGUUAAACCUUUUAGUACCGUAGCUAACGCGUGAAGUUGACCGCCUGGGGAGUACGGCCGCAAGGUUAAAACUCAAAGGAAUUGACGGGGACCCGCACAAGCGGUGGAUGAUGUGGAUUAAUUCGAUGCAACGCGAAAAGACCUUACCUACCCUUGACAUGCCAGGAACUUGCCAGAGAUGGCUUGGUGCCCGAAAGGGAACCUGGACACAGGUGCUGCAUGGCUGUCGUCAUCUCGUGUCGUGAGAUGUUGGGUUAAGUCCCGCAACGAGCGCAACCCUU